AUCGCAAAACCUGAGCAGCCUCAGGGAUAACGAGACCUUGAACGGAAGAUUUCAAAGGGAAGAAAUUGGCUGCUGCAAUAUUUCUUCUCCGAGUGCCUGGCUAGAUAUCAUUCCUCCAGGAACCAUGAAAAUGCGGCCUGACCAGGCACCUCUUGUCCUAUGGGGAAUAUCUUCUGCUCCAUUUGGGCCCCGAGGAGAAACAUCUCAGUUCAGCAACAUCUGCAGAUGAUAUUGUAGCUCAUUCCAGUUUAGCAAAAAAAUAGGUAGAUCUAAUGAGAUGCUUCCUCGAGCACUUCGCUGUUCAACAUCAACGAAGAUAUUAGGCUGUGACCCACUAUGCUAGCUGGACCAGAAUAAGGAAUCGAAUCCAUUCCUGCUCCCAUCUAGUUUCCUCCUGUUUUGGUCACCGCAGGAAUCACAGAUAAAUUGGAACUGUAAAACAGAACAUAUAUUUUGUCUCAUUUGCAUGUACUUUAAAUGAAUUUGUAUGUUUUAAAACUGGAUGCCUAGUGCCAAAUGCAGAAACAGUCAUAAUAUAGUCUUUGUAUGCAUGGGAAAAAUCCACAGAGAAACAUUCAGAUUUUUGUGGAGCUUUAACAUUUUUCAUAAACUCUGAGUUUUAGACAUUUUGUGAGUGCUGCAAUUCUGCAGUAGCUGUACUAGAUGCUUUCCAUUUGCAGUGCAGAAUGUCAUACACAUUUAUGACUCUUUCAGUACCCUUAAUCUUUUCUUCCGCAUGACUAGAUGAGACCAUUGGGCCAAGUCGGCUAUCCAGAUUCAAAGACAGGUCUUCAACGCCUUACAGAGAAGCUUCAUUUAUGAAGUGUUCAGGUAUUCACCAUAUGUGCCUGUUACACAUCCUCAUUUGUAAGUGCUUACCCAAAGCUUUUCAUGCCUUACUCUAAUGAAAAUGGGAAUUUCUGAAUACACUAUAACUUAUUCAGAUUUAAUGAGGGCAUGAUUUUAGAAGCUGAAGGCUUUGGUCGUCGUAUGUUCCUCAUCAUGAGACUAAUUUCAGAAGUGCAGGCCUCUAUCUUAUAACUGACUACUUAUUGAUUGGGUAUUUUAUUUACUAUUUCUAGUUGCAACUGUUCUUUAUGAAGCAUGUUAUUUAAGAAGGCACUAUAAUAAUGGUUUUUCUUCUAAAGGAACUUCAGGGAGAGAAAGAAAUAGAUUAUUCCAGCUUUUUCAUUUUUCUCUUUGUUAGGAAACUACACUGCGUACUUUGACAUACUAGUCACUUUUUUAUAUUCUGAAAACACUAAGGUACAAACGGGAAUAAAAGAAAUAAAACCCCCCAGUUUUAAUAACAAUUAUUUAUAUUUACUUUGAAAUUAAACUUGUAUAAUUUGAGAAUUGAAAACGACACAAAUUAACAUUCGAUCAAGUUGAACAUGAGCACCUCUUUCUGUAGUUUCUAUGUUUCCUCAGCACUAGUGAGGAUGCUAUACUAAAUGGAUAUUUUAUUCCCCAAAACACCUGUGUUUUCAUCAGUCAGUAUCAAGUCAAUCCUGAUGAGUAAGCUGGGUUUUAUUGGCUAUCAUAAUUAGUCAUUGUAGGCUUUGGAUAUUGUUAGUAUUGAAUAUUCAGAACCUCUGUUGUUAUUCCAUUGUAUGCAGUAACACCAUUCAUCUUUUAGUCAAAGCUGAACAAAUAAUAGCACUAUUAACAGUUGCUAGGCAUAUGUUUUAUUAAUAUAAUUUGCAAGUAAUCUAAAACCAAAUCAUCAUGAUGUUCCAUUAAAAAUAACAAAAAUAGGUAAACUGUAUCCUGUUACCACUCAUCCUCAAAACGUCAGCAUCAGGUAUGUCACAGUUAUUUGUGUCUAUCUGUCUGUGCUGGUGUAUUUGAAAACUUUCCUGUAUUAAAUAAAUGAAAUUAGCAAAAUUUU
Molecule: long non-coding RNA, 1891 nt
Organism: Dromaius novaehollandiae (emu)
Lineage: Eukaryota; Metazoa; Chordata; Aves; Casuariiformes; Dromaiidae
Exons: 3
Source: RefSeq, a predicted model, not a curated record